This 253-nucleotide ribosomal RNA is filed under the name uncultured bacterium. Its description in RNAcentral is "partial 16S ribosomal RNA". It matches the Rfam family "Bacterial small subunit ribosomal RNA", at positions 524 to 776 of the family's 1533-position model. The record is from RNAcentral.
UACGGAGGGGGCUAGCGUUGUUCGGAAUUACUGGGCGUAAAGCGUACGUAGGCGGCUUUGUAAGUUAGAGGUGAAAGCCCGAGGCUCAACCUCGGAACUGCCUUCGAUACUGCGGGUCUCGAGUCCGGGAGAGGUGAGUGGAAUUCCUAGUGUAGAGGUGAAAUUCGUAGAUAUUCGGAAGAACACCAGUGGCGAAGGCGACUCGCUGGACAAGUAUUGACGCUGAGGUACGAAAGCGUGGGGAGCAAACAGG